GAGCGGCGAACGGGUGAGUAACACGUGGGUGAUCUGCCUCGCACUCUGGGAUAAGCCUGGGAAACUGGGUCUAAUACCGGAUAUGACCAGGGACUGCAUGGUUUCUGGUGGAAAGAUUUAUCGGUGCGAGAUGGGCCCGCGGCCUAUCAGCUUGUUGGUGGGGUAACGGCCUACCAAGGCGACGACGGGUAGCCGGCCUGAGAGGGUGAUCGGCCACACUGGGACUGAGACACGGCCCAGACUCCUACGGGAGGCAGCAGUGGGGAAUAUUGCACAAUGGGCGGAAGCCUGAUGCAGCGACGCCGCGUGAGGGAUGACGGCCUUCGGGUUGUAAACCUCUUUCGACAGGGACGAAGCGNAAGUGACGGUACCUGUAGAAGAAGCACCGGCUAACUACGUGCCAGCAGCCGCGGUAAUACGUAGGGUGCGAGCGUUGUCCGGAAUUACUGGGCGUAAAGAGCUUGUAGGCGGUCUGUCGCGUCGAUUGUGAAAACUCACGGCUCAACCGUGGGCUUGCAGUCGAUACGGGCAGACUAGAGUACUGCAGGGGAGACUGGAAUUCCU
RNAcentral lists this ribosomal RNA (564 nucleotides) under Nocardia sp. 415B01. Its description in RNAcentral is "bacterial SSU rRNA". It matches the Rfam family "Bacterial small subunit ribosomal RNA", at positions 93 to 671 of the family's 1533-position model. Lineage: Bacteria; Bacillati; Actinomycetota; Actinomycetes; Mycobacteriales; Nocardiaceae. The record is from RNAcentral.